GAAAAACAGUCUAGUUCUUGUUGCUGUUGAACAAAUCCUCUAAGGGCAGGUCUCCACAAGAAACUGACAGCUGUCUAACUGCAUUGCUCAUGUUGGAAAAAUCACACCCCUCAGCGACACAGUUAUACCGAUCUAACCCCCAGUGUAGACAGCGUUCUGUUGAAUGGGGGUGAGAGAGGGGUUCACCCAUCAACACAACUACUGCCUCUUGCAGAGGUAGAUUAAUUAUGGCGAUGGGAGAAGUUCUCCUGUUGGCGUAGUCCCAUCUUCACCUUGUUUUAGUGAUGAGGUCUCUCCAUACUCAGUACCGUGAAUGCCUGAUUCGCCCCUCUCUUACACUGACGUAGGUCAGGAGCAGCACAAUAGAAGUCAGUGGAGUUACACCAGUGUAAAAGAGAUCAGACAGAGUUGUAUUAAAUACUAGUACUAAUCCUCCCUCUCAUCUGGUUCCUUCUCCUGCUCUCUGCUUUGCAAGUUGUUCUUUUUAUCCCCUUCCUAGGCAUCCUUCCCCCUCUCCUGCUGCACAGCCUUCCCCUGCUGAUCUCCUUCAGGAUUGUCUCCAUGCCCCCUUGCAUUUCAGCUGGUAUCUGAGUAUCAUGUUGGUUUGACCCGAAGGGCAGGCUGCUCAGGGGGUGGGCUGGGGUGGGGCAGGAAUCAGUGUGUGUGUAUGUGUUCACACCAUGUGCUUUCUUAGGGCCCGUGUCUCCCACUGACAUCAGAUGGAGUCGAGUCCUCAGCCCCUAU
This is a non-coding RNA of Chelonoidis abingdonii (Abingdon island giant tortoise), 744 nucleotides long. NCBI's taxonomy places the organism in Eukaryota, Metazoa, Chordata, Testudines, Testudinidae. The record is from RefSeq and is a predicted model, not a curated record.